This 380-nucleotide ribosomal RNA is filed under the name uncultured eukaryote. RNAcentral's name for it is "partial 18S ribosomal RNA". It matches the Rfam family "Eukaryotic small subunit ribosomal RNA", at positions 592 to 976 of the family's 1831-position model. The record is from RNAcentral.
CAAUAGCGUAUAUUAAAGUUGUUGCAGUUAAAAAGCUCGUAGUUGGAUUUGUGGCGUACGGUGGGUUCCGGGCACUUGUUGUCUGAGUAACUUGCUGUUGCCAUCCUUGGGUGGAACCUGUGUGGCAUUAGGUUGUCGUGCAGGGGAUGCCCAUCAUUUACUGUGAAAAAAUUAGAGUGUUCAAAGCAGGCUUAUGCCGUUGAAUAUAUUAGCAUGGAAUAAUGAGAUAGGACUUUUUUGCUAUUUUGUUGGUUUGCGCGAAGAGGUAAUGAUUAAUAGGGACAGUUGGGGGUAUUCGUAUUCCAUUGUCAGAGGUGAAAUUCUUGGAUUUUUGGAAGACGAACUACUGCGAAAGCAUUUACCAAGGAUGUUUUCAUUAA